UACAGAGGUCUCAAGCGUUGUUCGGAUUCAUUGGGCGUAAAGGGUGCGUAGGCGGCGCGGUAAGUCGGGUGUGAAAUCUCGGGGCUUAACUCCGAAACUGCAUUCGAUACUGGCGUGCUUGAGGACUGGAGAGGAGACUGGAAUUCAUGGUGUAGCAGUGAAAUGCGUAGAGAUCAUGAGGAAGACCAGUGGCGAAGGCGGGUCUCUGGACAGUUCCUGACGCUGAGACACGAAGGCCAGGGGAGCAAACGGG
Molecule: ribosomal RNA, 253 nt
Filed under: uncultured bacterium
Lineage: Bacteria
Description: partial 16S ribosomal RNA
Rfam family: Bacterial small subunit ribosomal RNA
Source: RNAcentral